This 468-nucleotide long non-coding RNA is filed under the name Eucalyptus grandis. RNAcentral describes it as "long non-coding RNA (EGRA_LNC007536)". The record is from RNAcentral. Lineage: Eukaryota; Viridiplantae; Streptophyta; Magnoliopsida; Myrtales; Myrtaceae.
UUAGAAACCACUCUUCAAUUCAACUGAGACCUUAAUCCGAAACUUCUAUAUUCAACAUGGGGUGUCUCGAGAAUUCCCUAGUCCACGCACAAAGAGGGAAGAUAUACCCCACCGGUUUUGGGUGUUGUCAACAAAGAGGGCACACGAGUUCAGAUAAGAUUUUCCUCUUCCAUAGGUCCUCGGUUGUUGGGAGAGCAUUCUAAUAUAAGCUCCACAUGUAUUGUUUGACUAUGGGGGGUUGUCAAGGUUCGAUAUCAUAUUCCAUACCUCUUUUGGGGGUCGAUACGAUGAUGAUGCUUGGUUCGCUUAUUGUUGGUUCACUGUUCCUCUUGGGUUGUUGGAGGCACUCUUAUUUUUAAGGGUUUGAUAUGAUGUAGGCACUCUUAUCCUUCGCAAAGAUAACCAGGGCUCCCAAAGGUGAAACGCUUGGCAAGAUGAAACCCUUAUCAAGUCCUGUGGUUGAAUCUU